RNAcentral lists this long non-coding RNA (6940 nucleotides) under Oryza sativa (Asian cultivated rice). RNAcentral's name for it is "long non-coding RNA (OSAT_LNC000355)". The record is from RNAcentral. Lineage: Eukaryota; Viridiplantae; Streptophyta; Magnoliopsida; Poales; Poaceae.
CGGAUCCGAUUCUCAGCCCCCUGAUUCCUAGCCCCAUCUGCAAUUUCUCCAUCUACAUUGGAAAUCAAUAAGAACAGAAGAGUAUAUGAACACAUCAACAACAAGCAAGCACACCACAAACCAAGAAGACAAGAACAAAUACAUCACAAACCAGAACAAACAAUUCACCGUUACAUGUUCUACCAUGGACGACAAUUACAUGUUCAACAUAUCGGACACACCGUCCCAAUGGAUCUGCCGCCGUCAUCGCCGAUUCCCCGAAUCGUUGCUGUUCAUCUCCUUUGAGAUGCCGCCAUCAUUUGCUUCCACGGUGGUGAGGUCAGAGGCGGCUGGAUCAGGCGAGCCUUGACCUCAAGGAGCUCGGAUCCGGUGGCCCCCGACCUCUAGGUGAUCGGAUCCAGCGCGACUGGGGAGUGAGAGCAGGGAGGAAGUGGUGAAGAGGAGAGGGCGCCGCCGAGGAGAGGAGGAGGGGCAGUGGGCGGAAAGAAAAUACGGAGAGGGAAGGGGAGGAGGGGCAGCAGACGGAGAGGGAUGAGGAAGAGGGAGGGAAGGAGGGGUGAUGGAUGAAGAGGAAGGGGGAGGAGGAGUGGAAGACAGAGAGGGAGCAGGAGGCAGGCACAUGUGCGAGAGAUAGGAGGGAGAAAGAGAUGUGCGAGAGAGAGAGAUGAGGAUAGGAUAAGGCGCUCUCCUAUCCUCGCUAAAAUAUCUCGCUCCCAUCCUGCUGGCUCGGAUCGGCUAGACUGGUAUUAGUUUUUUAAGAAACCGACACCUAUAAUACGUUCUUUUAAAAAACUGGUACCUAUAGUUUUUUUUUCUCUAGAAGUGGCACCUACAAUUCUCAAAUGUUCCGGUUCUAUAUUUUUUAUCGCAUGAAGGUAGAAAAAGGUUCAUAGGUGCUGGUUUUAAAUAAACUGACACCUAUGAUCGAUACCUAUAGGGGUUUUAGUAUUGCCAGAGAGAUUGAUUUACAUAUAGUGAAGGAAUCAAUUCUACAGGAUGCUCUUAAUUUUUCUUUAGAUGGGAUGUGUCCCAGAUUAAGAUUUACUUAAAUUUUAAGUUGCCAAAAUAAACAGCUAAACUGAGUCUUUAUGCCAUGCCAAGUGGAUUCAUCUGGAUCCUUUAGUAGGCAUAUGACAAGCAUAAUAGCAUGUAUUCUUCUCUUUUCUACUCCCUCCGUUUUAUAUUAUAAGUUGCUUUGACUUUUUAAGUCAAACUUUCUUGAGUUUGACCAAAAUUUUAGAAAAUUUUAGCAACGCCCACAACAUCAAAUUAGUUUCAUUAAAUUAAAUAUAGCAUUGAAUAUAUUUUAAUAAUAUAUUUGUUUUGUACUGAAAAUAUUAUUAAUUUUUUCUAUAAACUUGGUCAAACUUUCAAAAGUUUGACUAGAAAAAAGUUCAAAUUAACUUAUAAUAUGAAACAAAGGAGAAUAUACUAGUGUCCUAAUAACUACAUGAAAGCAUAAGUACAAUUCCUUAAAAAAAAUCUACUGUCAAAACUUCAACAAGAAUAGAAAGAUUCAGCUUUGUGGCAGAUGGUAUCAUUUUUUUUUAAAAAAAAACAACAACAAAUGGGAUCAUCAAGUCACUUCACCUUGCAUUGAUUUAAGAUAAGGUGAAUGGUUUGAAUAUGAUAUAUUCUUAGAUAAAAUUGGUCUAAAUUCGUAAUAGUAUUUGAUAAUGGAGAAAACCAACGUGAUCCCAAAGGUUCGCUCCUGCAUCAAUUUAGUCAUAUGGGCUAAUAUAGUCGUCGGACUUAUUAAAAUCGCCACAUGGACAUACCAUAUCACCCUCCCAUGCAAAAUCUGCAAUGAGUUGUUUUACCCUUACAUAUUGUCAGAGGAACAGGAACGGGAGCCCCCCGGUCCUCCGGGGUCUUUAGGGCACCCGAGGUUGUAUGUUACAACAAGAGACACACAAGAUUUACAUCUUCAAGGAACGAACAAUAUCUACAUCUUCAAGAGAUACACAUGAUCUACAUCUCCAAGGUGCCGAGGAGAGUGUAGAGACCUACAGGAUCUAAAUCUCCAGGGUGCCAAGGAGAGGAUACAGAUCUACAAGAUCUAUAUCUUCAAGGUGCUAAGGGGGUAGAUAGUUGCUCGAUGCAUAUUCCACGGAGGUGAUCAUUGAGAACUUGUUCGUCAACGACAUAUUCGAGAAGCUCACCCAAAGUAACAAGAAAACAUGUGAAUUAGCAAGGGGAGAGGUCCUUGUUGCCCUGGGACGAUCUGGUGCCCCGAGCACGCUACCUGCCCCAGAUGUGUGGCUGCUCUGAGGAGCAGAGGCCACCCUAGAGUGCAGAACAAGUGGCUAGGGGUCCAGGCAGGGGCCCGAGCAUAUCCACCUUGCCCCGGGCUAGCCUCGAAUCUCUCUAAUCCUCUGAGUGGGCCUCUCGACACCACUUACCGCCCAAGUCUAAAACCACAUUUUAACACAUUUUAGUUCACAAAUAUAAGAGCUAUUCACCUCUGUCCAGCAGUGAAAAUAUUACCCAAAUUCUCAUUUACAAAGUGAUCAUGAUGUCAUUUAGCAUUUUCUAGGCAUGACUAAGCAUAGAGCUUUUAUAUAAGCAUGUAUAAACCUAUUUGAGUACUUAGAAAGUACUCUAACCAUUUCUAAGGUUACAAUCAGUGAGAGUAAUAAUUAUUCAAAGAGAAUAUGCAGCAAAUAGGACAUAACUACCAUAACCAUGUUUUAAAGAUACCGAUAUAGUCUAAAUUCAUAUGCAACUUUGCAAACAAAUAUUUUCAUUCCUCAAAUCAUGGGAUUCAAUGUGAUCAAAGGAUGGGAGGAGAAUUUGCCUUGCUCUUGGAAUUGUUAGCACCUAAGUCACUUCUUCACCGUUAUACAAUAAUCUAUAUAAAGUACACGUUAUACAAUUAAACACCGAAAUAGGAGAAAAUCCAAAAUGCUCUAAAAUGCAUGAUUUGUUCACAGUGGAUAGGUUCUGAUCUAAAAUGAAUUUACAUGAAAGAAUUUCUAUUUUAUCUCUUUUUAUUUGGAAGUUAUUAAUUUUAGAAGUUACGUCGGUAUAAUGUAGUAUAGGUUUAGGCAGUGCUACAAAAUAUUUUUGCAAAGUGGUUUUAUUAGAUUUGAAUUCUCAGGGGUGUAGAUAUGUGUUUUUUUAAUACUAACACAUUUUGUUUCACAAUUUUUAGAGUUAUUAUGAAUUCUUUAUGUGGUUCACAAGUUAUAACGUGUUCUAGGCAUAUAACUUUUAGGUGUACAUGACUUUGGAGAUUUAGGUUCAGAACAUGUUCUACUUUGUUUGAGAUGUAUAAAAUAAAUAAUUUGGUUAACCAAUCUAAUCUUAGUUCAUAACUUUAGGGCUUGUAUUAAUUUGCUAUACAUUCUAUAAAGUAGGGAGAUGUUCUUUGUUAGUUUUCUUAACAUAACAACUUAGAGGUUAUUACAUGAGCUAAGUUCUUCUAAGUUUUGGUGGAUGGGGAUGGAACUAUGGCUUCACUGGUCCUAACAAGUUUUAUUUUGGUUUAUUCAUAGCUAGAGUGCAUUUUAAAUACCUCUACACGUAUUUUUUGCUUAACCAUCACUAGGUGAUUAACUCCUAGGUUAUCUAUUUAAAGAUUAGAGCUAUAACCUGUACAAAAUUUGUCAUAUUUUAUUUUACUAUAUUGAAGCUCACUAUUUUCUGGUUCUAUAGAAACUUAGUUCAUUUCAUUUGGACUAAAAAUGAAUUUUCUACAAAUUUUACAAGUUAAAGGCUGCUCUAUGUUGGUUAUUCCUUACAUAAAUCUUUAGAGGCUUUGAUUAUACAGUAAGUACAUACUUUUAUUUUACAAAUUGGAAAUACAUAUUUCGGUGAUUCUACAGAACUUGUGUUUACUCAAAAAGGAGUUAAAAUGAAUUUUAGAUAAAUCUUUAAAGUUUAGCUUCCCUAAAUCUCAUCAUUUUAAAUGCAAUUGUUUUAAAGGCAUUUGAUGCAAAGCAAGUAAUUACUUUUAUUUCACCUAACCAGAGAGUGCAUGAUGAUGAAUUUGCAGAAUUUGAGUUUGUUUCAAAAUGAGUUGAGAUAAAUUUUAUAUGUAUUUUAUAAAUUUGUGUAUGUUUUAUGUAUGAUUUAUAUUAGACAAAUUUUUGAGGCAAAGUUUGUACAGUGAGUGUCAAGUUUUAUGUUUCUAUAGUAAAUUUCAUAACUUUGUGAAUCUACAGAAACUAGAAUCACCUCAAAAUGAGCUAUAUUUGAUUUUAUAUGAAUUUUCCAAGUUCGUGCAUUUUUCUGUUAAACAUAUAUUUGGUUGGGUAUUUUCAUUUAUUAUUUUCCAGAUUUUAAAGGAUGGGGUCCAUUGGUCAGUGAGAGAUCAAUAUGCAAAAAGCACCUUGAGGUUCCUAGGAAUCAACCCACAGUCCAAAGUUUGUGAUGAACCAAAUUCAUUAAGAGUCCUUAGAUUCUUUAAAUUCAUUACUAACUAGAAAAGCAGCGCGCCAACUGGCGCGCUCGCUCUGUAGCCCCUGUAUAAAGUUUGAUGAAUUAGUAUGAAAUUUGUGCUAUUAAUUAGUACGAAUUUCAUGAAAUUUUAUGGAAAUUAUUUGAAUUUCUAUGAAUUGCACAGAAUUGCUCCAAUUCAACAUAGCAGAUCGCAUUGUUGAGAAGGAUCCUUAAUUUUCUCUCUUCUUUCAAUUCAUGCUAUUCAGGGUUUUUUUGUGUGUCUAAAAUUGUAAUUAAUUGUCAACUAACGAUAAAACAUGUGUUUAUAAUUUUGAAAAUUUUAAGUGUUCCAAAUUUAUGUUUUGUGAGGAGCUAUUGCAAAUGCACUUUAGAACUGCUAGUAUAUAUGCAACAUAUCCUCACCGAUAUUACUAUUACAAAUGUUAGAGCCAUGUAAAAAUUGAUAGGAAGAUCCGCUCAUCAAUUUGUACAAAAAAAUAAUCAGUAUAUUAUUAUGAAGAUUGGUAUAAGACUCUCAACAUUAUAACGCAAUAUCUUGAACUCUACCAAAUAUUCUAAUAGCACUGAGCAUUUCAUCCUUGUCUAGAAAGGCUAGGAGAUAAAGAUUUAUACAAGUUUUGUGUGCGCAAAGGCUCGAGAGUAAAGAACCUACAGGUUAAUGAUGAUGGUCGUAAUGAUACAUAAUUGCAAAUGCAACCUAAACUUCAGGAGCCUACAAUCUACAUGGAUGAGUUGACAUGUUUUUAUGCCUACAUGGCUGCCUGAAAUUCAGCAGCCUCCUUAUACUAUUCCAGGGGCGGAGGGCUCGGUAGGGCGAGGUGUGGCGCUCGCCAUACCUCGCGCCGCCCGCUGAACCCCUCGUACUCCUCCGUGCAGAGCAGCAGCCGAGUCAGAGAGAGUGGCGACGCCGCAUCGUGAGAAGACGAGCGACAGCUGAGACGCGGCGUGGGCGUGUCCGCGAGGCUCGUCUUGUUUUGUGUCUUGAAUCUAGACCCAAAUUUCCCCAUCUGACCAUCUCCUCCACUCUCCCCCAAUCCGCCAAUCCCCAUCCCGAUCUCAUCGGCGGACGACGGCUGCCGCGAUGUGCGUCGUGCGCGGGAGGACUGGGUGAGGUGAGGAGGACGCAGAGCUGCGGCUGCGGCAUCCGCUCCGGCCAGGCGGCGGCGCGACCAGCCUCCAGGGCCCAGGGGGGCAUGCGAACACGCAGUCGCACACGCGCAGGCGCGCAGCGCAGGAAGAGCAGAGGUAGAGGCAGGGUGGGACCACUGGCGGAGGACGGAAAAAAAUUAGGUGUGGCACAAGGAGUGGACACCCAAGACUAAGGAAAAAGCAAUCUCAAUUGCAACAGGAUAUUUUGUCAAUAAGCCUAUAUUACGCAUGGCAACAACCAUUGAUCGCAAUCCAUUAUUCAUUUGCAAACAAGCAUAAAUAAAUAAAUAAAUAAAAGUAUGCAUGGAAGGAUAUGCACCUCUUUGAUGUCAAGACCUUCCCUUCCCUUUCUAUCCAUUUUCGCAAAACUUGGUUGCCCCUGCUAAUUGGCUGCUUGCUGAGCGGCGGAUGCAGUCACGCACGGCGCGCCCACGCCGCCACUGGCUGCAUGCUUGUGCCUUGUUGAGUUGAGUUGUUGCUCUGCUGCUAGCCCCUGCUGAAGUGCCGAGUGCCCAAUGCCGGAGUGCCUGCGGCCGGCGGCCUGCCCAACCUGCGCCGUCGCAGCCUCCUCCUCCCCGUGCCUCCUCCCCGCGACCCCGCACCAGCGCCGCCCAACUCCACUCGACCGGCGGCCGGAUUAGGGAUUGGAGUUGGAGAGAAGAGGGGAAUUUUGGGUUUAGCCGUCUAGGGUUUGAUGGUCAAAAGCCCCUUUUGCACAAAACAACUAAACAAGCCCAAUGGGCUAAAUAUUUUGGGUGCUCGCCUGCUUCAUCCUCUCGCCUCUCGCUCUUUCUUUGCGCACGGCGUCGUUCCCUCUCGCUCUUUCUCGCGCACGACGUCGCUCCCUCACCAGCGGCUGGAUCCCGGGGGAGGGGACGAAUUGAGAGGUGGGGGGUUAGGCGGAGCAAGGUAUGGCGAGGGCCACACCUUGCCCUACCGAGAGCUCCGCCCCUGGGUGGGACGAAUGGCACAACAGUAGUGCAGGCGUGCAGCACCAAGCAUCGACAGCAAGCAAGCCAACUGAUUCUACAUUUGUGAAGUUUAAUCAAUCUUUGGUACUGGACUACUGGAGUAUUUGUUUUAUAGAUUCCACAUGUAUUAUCUAUCUAUACUCAGUACUGUAGUUCCUAUAUGUGAAUAUGUGAUGUAUUGUUGAAAGCAUAAAUAUUAAGAAGUUGAGGUAUUUUUUGACUACACUGUUUGCAAAUGGAUGAUGAAUCAUGAACUUGCGAUUAGUUCUUGUUUGCUAGCUUAAUGUAGACUUGUUGAGAUAAUAUUGCGUCGUAUAAUGUUCUGUGCUAACUUUCGUGGUGAUUCGUUGGCCACACCUAAAUUUUUUUCCGUCCUCCGCCACUGUACUAUUCCACAUGUCAACAACUGGAAAUCA